Molecule: unclassified non-coding RNA, 240 nt
Filed under: soil metagenome
Description: partial contains 5.8S ribosomal RNA, internal transcribed spacer 2, and large subunit ribosomal RNA
Source: RNAcentral
AACUGAUACUACCUGCGGGAACCUGCGGAGGGAUCAUUACCGAGUUUUCAACUCCCUAACCCUUCUGUGAACCUACCUAUCGUUGCUUCGGCGGACUCGCCCCAGCCCGGACGCGGACUGGACCAGCGGCCCGCCGGGGACCUCAAACUCUUGUAUUCCAGCAUCUUCUGAAUACGCCGCAAGGCAAAACAAGUGAAUCAAAACUUUCAGCAACGGAUCUCUAGAUCGGAAGAGCACACG